AUUUGUCUGGGGAAAGAGGAUCAGGGGGAAGGGAAAAAUCCCUGGCAGUUUUGUUCUCUUUUGUUUUGCCCUAAAAAGGGGAAACUGUGUUUCACUUCACAUCAUCUAGCUUUUCGGUGGAACGACCAUGUCCUGAAUGUCUGGGUGGGCGCAGGUGCGCGUCCAUGGCCACUGGCCACGGAGCCUGAGCGGCUUCAUCACACCAGGACGUCUUGUCUUUACACAGUUAAAAUAAUGACGCAACCCGAAGUCUUCUCUAGUUUGAGUUUGCCUCGUGGGGAAGCGCUCCUCUUCUGGAGGAAGGACACUUACUGAGCCUCCCCUGCCCGGGGCUCCAUUUCACACACGGGCCCUCAGAUCUGAUCCCUGACAUCACAGAGGACGCUCUGGUGGCCCAGUCAUCUCCCUCACGGUUGACCAUUUUCGAUUGUCCUCUUAUUUUGUCAAAUUUUAUUUUCUACCGAGGAGCCUCCCCCUCCCUCCUACACGACCUGGAUUAGGAUCUAGACCUGUGGGCCUCCGUUGGCCCUGAGAACAAAAUAAAAUUGAUGGCUGUUCAAGAUGCAUAGAUUCCACCAGAAAGUCAAGGUCAUGAGAUAUUAAAUGCAUCCAGUCAUCCCUUCCCAUUGUGGACCAUGCUUGACCUUGGUUCUGGCCCAUUCUCGACCUUGACUCACCUGGGUCCUGACCCACUGUUGAGCCUCACUCACCUGGGUCUUGACCUACUGUUGAGCCUCACUCACCUGGGUCCUCACUCACUGUUGAGCCUCACUUAUCUCGGUUCUGUUUACUGUGGUUUGAGCUCUGGAGUCAAAUAUAUUUUCAUUCUAACUCUGGUUUCUCCACUUAGCAGCAGUGUGAUUUGGGGGAGGCAAAGGAACAUCUGUGUACCAGCCUGUUGAGUGAGAAAUGAAGAUGAGAGCACCUCCUUGCAGGGUCAUGAUGAGUGCCGGGGGUCCUACAGUUUUUCUUCUAUGUCUGAGGAUAACCAGAUGGAAGACUUUGUAAAGACUGAAUGAUUACUCUGAAUUAGAUUUUCCUAUCACUUGCUUCGAGGUUAGCCAACGGUGGGGUUUGGAGCGACAGUCCCCACAAGACCACUUCCUCUCAGACACCAGCUGAAAAGAACACAGAUUGGGAUCCACGGAGGGAGCGAGCAGGUGUAGGGGACAGAGUCCAGGAAAGUAGCUCCUUGCCUCUGGAGGUCCAGCUGAUGUGUGUGGCCCAAAGCCCCUGCCCCUCAACACAGCAUUACCAUCUGGCCGGCUCAAAGCCCCCGGGGAAAACAUAUCUCUAUCAAGCAUGACCUUCCAAGGGCUGAGAGAUGACCUCCCAGCAGCUGAGGCCAAAGGUCAACACUUCUUUUUGGGCAAAGCUAAAUACUUUACUACACACUUAUUUAUUAAAAAAAAA
Zalophus californianus (California sea lion) is the source of this 1413-nucleotide long non-coding RNA. RefSeq lists it as uncharacterized. The record is from RefSeq and is a predicted model, not a curated record. The transcript is spliced from 4 exons. Lineage: Eukaryota; Metazoa; Chordata; Mammalia; Carnivora; Otariidae.